UACGGGGGGAGCAAGCGUUGUUCGGAUUCAUUGGGCGUAAAGGGUGCGUAGGCGGCGCGGUAAGUCGGGUGUGAAAUCUCGGAGCUUAACUCCGAAAUGGCAUUGGAAACUACCUUGCUCGAGGGUUGGAGGGGGGACUGGAAUACUUGGUGUAGCAGUGAAAUGCGUAGAUAUCAAGUGGAACACCAGUGGCGAAGGCGAGUCCCUGGACAACUCCUGACACUGAGGCACGAAAGCUAGGGGAGCAAACAGG
RNAcentral lists this ribosomal RNA (253 nucleotides) under uncultured bacterium. RNAcentral describes it as "partial 16S ribosomal RNA". It matches the Rfam family "Bacterial small subunit ribosomal RNA", at positions 524 to 776 of the family's 1533-position model. The record is from RNAcentral.